AGCAAUAGCUACUAUGUUGGUUCAAUCUGAAUUUUAUUUUCCAUUAUAUUUCCUUCUUCCGAUCUUUAAUUCUCUUGUUAUCCAGUAAAAUAACAGUUUGUUCUCUAACUUGUCUAUCCAAUACAAAAACAUGAGUUACAUUCAAAGUACAGGGAACAUCAUUAGUGCAACAAAGAGGUUGCAGCAAAAAGUCGAGGUUAUCACUUGGAAAGAAGAAAUUGUAUAAUAUUCUUCCAAAUGAAGAAGAGGUACUAUUCUAUACUGUAGAAAAAUCAAAUAAUUCGAUGAUGCUUUGGUUUCUUAGUAUUAUCGAUUGUAGUGUGUGGCAAUGAUGAAGAGCUUAGCAAUUAUUCUGCAAAUCUCAAAUGUGUAUACUUAAUCCCUUCCAUAUUUUGAUGGUGUAUGUCUUCAAACUAGAUAUUAAAUGUUGGCCAACACCUAUUUGAGAUCUGUUUUUUCUUGUUUGUAGUUCAUCUAGAUUUGGAGCAAAAAACAAGAUUCGUGAUCUAAAAGAGAUGUAAGAGCCCUUACUCUAGUAGAGGUAUGGUCUCUUACUUUUGUUUUCAUCAUCUUCUCCGAAGUAUUAUCAUGAAUACUUUGUUGUCAAGUUGUCUCCUGUAUAUGACCAUCAUAUGUCAUGUGUCCUCAAGAUCAUGAUAUCUGGGUUGAGCAAGUAGCUGCUAUGUCGGUUUAGUUUGAACGUAGCCACUCUUUAUAUUUUGUUGGGAUCUUUUCCAGUACCACAAUAAAUUGUUCUCUCGUUUUGUUUGUCCAACCUUUUGGUUUCAUUCUCUUUCAUUAUGUUGGGAUUUAGAAAGCAUGGAGCGGUAGCAUGGCAGGCACAAGGAACAUCAUGAAGACAAAGACAGAGAGCUUUCAACAAUAACAUGAGGUUAUCUAUCAAGGCAAGAAACUGUACCAUAUUAUUUUGAAAUCAAAUAACUGAUUGAUACUGUAAUUUGAGCUUGACUUGCAAGAAACCUCUAAUGCGGCAAACCAGAAAAAUAGGGACUAGCCCGUGUGGCAUUUGUAUUAAGAAGGAAACACCCUAGGCACACAAGAAACCUCUAAUAACUUAUGUACUCAAGCUGUUGUAGAUAGUCAUGUCAUAUUAACCUAGAAGCGCAUGCUCAAGUUUUUAGUAUAAUUGAUUUUUUUCAGUUAUGUUUGUAUCAAAUUUUAUAUAGGGUUCUAGAACAAAUCACUCAAUUAUUUUGUCAAAUUCAUUAAGUUCAGUUGAAAAAAACAACAACUUAGGUAUUAUACCCAUGCUAAUGUGAGAAACUGAAAUAACAAAUAGGUUAUUGUAGCAAAACUUAAGAACAUUUUGAAAAAAAUAGGUAGUAUUCCUGAAACUGAGAUAAGAAAUAGGUUAUUGUAGCAAAAUUGAAGAACAUCUUGAAGAAAUAGGUAUUAUUCCUGUUACUUGUUAUCUUACUGUAGCAAAUCAUUGACACUUGCACAUUUUACAAGUUCAAUCAUGUCCAGUGCAGGGUAUCCUUGGAGAACAUCUUGCAACCAAAGCUGUAGCAGAACCUUGUACAAAAUGAGGUCUCGAAUUUUGAAUAUUUGGUUGAUGCACCAGUGUCUUUGGUCUCUGUUUUUGUUGACCAUUGAUCCCUGUAUAUAACUUCUAUGCAAUUUGAUCAGAAGUUAUGUGAAUUCGCAACUCUGUGAUUAAUGUAAACUAUUGAUGUGUCUAUGCUUUGAAUAUUUUGAGUGGAACAACCAUGUGGAAAACCAUUAGGAGUACUAUUUUUUUUGUUUAUUGUUUUCUUAUUUUUCCUGACGGUAAUGCCUGACAGGAGUAGACCACUGCACUGAUUUGCUAAACCUGAUGCCC
RNAcentral lists this long non-coding RNA (1843 nucleotides) under Triticum aestivum (bread wheat). RNAcentral describes it as "long non-coding RNA (TAES_LNC028399)". The record is from RNAcentral. Lineage: Eukaryota; Viridiplantae; Streptophyta; Magnoliopsida; Poales; Poaceae.